RNAcentral lists this ribosomal RNA (292 nucleotides) under uncultured bacterium. RNAcentral describes it as "partial 16S ribosomal RNA". It matches the Rfam family "Bacterial small subunit ribosomal RNA", at positions 505 to 796 of the family's 1533-position model. The record is from RNAcentral.
GUGUCAGCCGCCGCGGUAAUACGUAGGGGGCGAGCGUUGUUCGGAUUUACUGGGCGUAAAGAGCGCGUAGGCGGUUCGAUCAGUCGGAGGUGAAAGCCCUCGGCUCAACCGAGGAUCCGCGUCCGAUACUGUCGAACUUGAGUGCAGGAGAGGAGAGCGGAAUUCCCAGUGUAGCGGUGAAAUGCGUAGAUAUUGGGAGGAACACCGGUGGCGAAGGCGGCUCUCUGGACUGCUACUGACGCUGAGGCGCGAAAGCUAGGGGAGCAAACGGGAUUAGAAACCAGCGGAGUAC